GGUGGAGAGGGAAAGCUUAUAAGAACAAGCUAAUGGUGCCUGUCUUCUGUCAGUGUCUCAUCAGUGCCUGGUCUGCCUGAUCUGCCUGACCAGCAGCAAGCCUGGAGCCAGAGCGGAUGUUGGAGAAGAGGGGUCGAUUUUCAAAUGCACAACAAGAAGUGGUUUGAGACGGCGAACACUGUGGCAAUGGAGGGGGGUCAGCCAGUGAAGAAGGAGGAGAUUAGAAGUCAUGCAGCCUACCUGUUCCUGCCUGUGGUGUGUCCGCAAAAAACACAUUUCAUAAAUCUUUUCCAUGAUUAAAGUUAUGACACUUGUUGCCUCACUAAAUGUCAUUUUUAUAUGAAAAAUUUACCACUUGUCAUCUGCUUAUCUAAAGGUCUGCCCUUCCAAAUUCUUCUCACCUGGGGAUAUUUUCUACUUUCUCAUGUAACUUUCCUUGACUUGCCUUGACAACUGGCAAUAACUACAUUUAAAAAUAAAGGCACAACUGAAAAACACAUUUUAUGGUUCAUUUCAAAAUAAAUAAUUGUGCCUGGAUCUGAACAUUUUAAAGCCAGAUGAAACAGGGCAAUAGUGGCAUCAGUUUAAAAUACAUUUUUCACUGUUAUUCAGGACACUGGAAUGCAAAU
This 629-nucleotide long non-coding RNA is filed under the name Lepisosteus oculatus (spotted gar). RNAcentral describes it as "lncRNA (ENSLOCG00000021985.1)". Lineage: Eukaryota; Metazoa; Chordata; Actinopteri; Semionotiformes; Lepisosteidae. The record is from RNAcentral.